GGAAGAGUGCCCGAGUGGUUAAAGGGGACGGACUGUAAAUCCGUUGACUCAGUCUACGUUGGUUCGAAUCCAACCUCUUCCACCA
This 85-nucleotide transfer RNA is filed under the name Limoniibacter endophyticus. RNAcentral describes it as "tRNA-Tyr". It matches the Rfam family "tRNA". Rfam says of the family: Transfer RNA (tRNA) molecules are approximately 80 nucleotides in length. Their secondary structure includes four short double-helical elements and three loops (D, anti-codon, and T loops). Further hydrogen bonds mediate the characteristic L-shaped molecular structure. tRNAs have two regions of fundamental functional importance: the anti-codon, which is responsible for specific mRNA codon recognition, and the 3' end, to which the tRNAs corresponding amino acid is attached (by aminoacyl-tRNA synthetases). tRNAs cope with the degeneracy of the genetic code in two manners: having more than one tRNA (with a specific anti-codon) for a particular amino acid; and 'wobble' base-pairing, i.e. permitting non-standard base-pairing at the 3rd anti-codon position. The record is from RNAcentral. Lineage: Bacteria; Pseudomonadati; Pseudomonadota; Alphaproteobacteria; Hyphomicrobiales; Bartonellaceae.